Molecule: long non-coding RNA, 155 nt
Organism: Dermochelys coriacea (leatherback sea turtle)
Lineage: Eukaryota; Metazoa; Chordata; Testudines; Dermochelyidae
Exons: 2
Source: RefSeq, a predicted model, not a curated record
CUUGGGGAAGGACAAACACCAGAGGAGGUUCCUGAUGCAACCUUGAAAUCUCAGCCAUCCAUGUUAUCACCGUCUGAAAGGCUGCAAAGAAUCAGGAAGAGGCCACACAGAAGCAAAGAGGACCUGCUGUAUGAAGUCAUGCAGCACUCCCUUAA